UUGGUUGGUUAUCCACUGGAGUUCUCCUCAAACCACUUCAGCAGAUAGCUAGCUAGGCCUCAUUGCAUUGCACCACUGUUGCAUAACUAUGAGCAUGGGGCCAAAAGUUAGCUGCUUAUAGUGAAGUGUUUGGGGAAACUCCGGUUGGCAACCAGCAUUUUCAAGUUUGGUCUGUAAGUUUUUGUACUUCAGGAAUUACAUGUGAUGGCCAUAUAUAUGAUAUUCAAUUUUUAAAUGAUGGAGGUUUGGAGCCCCCAGGAAUAAGGGCCAUACCCAGCAUCUUAGGCCCCAGUGCGAAACACAAAACGAAACCUUAUAUUUAGAAAUAUCAAUAAAAGGAUACUAAAUUAUUCAGAAAAAAAUAUUACGUAAAUGGUGGCGGUCACCUCCUUAAGUAAGAAAAAUAAGUGAGUCUUAAUGUAAUUAUUUGAUUUUCUUUAUCAAGCAGAAAAAUGGAAUGUUUAGUACCUAGAACGCACGUUCAUGUCACCGCUAUAAACUAUAUUUCUUUAAGGUUGCCAUGAUUAUUAUUGAACAUCUAUUUGAUCCAAAGAAAAUAAAUAUGUUAUAGCCAAAUCAAUACAUCAAGAUGAGCGGAACUUUUGAAAAAACAAAAUGAAUAGGAUAAAACCAUAUUGGAAAUUAGUGUCUUGUAUUGAAAUAUGAGAAUUUUGGGGGG
RNAcentral lists this precursor RNA (679 nucleotides) under Oryza rufipogon (brownbeard rice). RNAcentral's name for it is "putative precursor microRNA R395t". The stretch from base 9 to 151 matches the Rfam family "mir-395 microRNA precursor family". The record is from RNAcentral. Lineage: Eukaryota; Viridiplantae; Streptophyta; Magnoliopsida; Poales; Poaceae.